RNAcentral lists this ribosomal RNA (923 nucleotides) under uncultured bacterium. RNAcentral describes it as "bacterial SSU rRNA". It matches the Rfam family "Bacterial small subunit ribosomal RNA", at positions 67 to 951 of the family's 1533-position model. The record is from RNAcentral.
CGGCAGCACGGGUGCUUGCACCUGGUGGCGAGUGGCGAACGGGUGAGAAAAAACAUCGGAACAUGUCCUGUAGUGGGGGAUAGCCCGGCGAAAGCCGGAUUAAUACCGCAUACGAUCUACGGAUGAAAGCGGGGGACCUUCGGGCCUCGCGCUAUAGGGUUGGCCGAUGGCUGAUUAGCUAGUUGGUGGGGUAAAGGCCCACCAAGGCGACGAUCAGUAGCUGGUCUGAGAGGACGACCAGCCACACUGGGACUGAGACACGGCCCAGACUCCUACGGGAGGCAGCAGUGGGGAAUUUUGGACAAUGGGCGAAAGCCUGAUCCAGCAAUGCCGCGUGUGUGAAGAAGGCCUUCGGGUUGUAAAGCACUUUUGUCCGGAAAGAAAUCCUGAGGGCUAAUAUCCUUCGGGGAUGACGGUACCGGAAGAAUAAGCACCGGCUAACUACGUGCCACCAGCCGCGGUAAUACGUAGGGUGCGAGCGUUAAUCGGAAUUACUGGGCGUAAAAGCGUGCGCAGGCGGGUUUGUUAAAAACCGAUGUGAAAUCCCCGGGCUCCACCUGGGGAACUGCAUUGGUGACCUGGCAAGCCUAGAGUAUGGCAGAGGGGGGGUAGAAUUUCCCUCGUGUAUCAGUGAAAUUGCGUAGAGAUGUGGAGGAAAUACCGAUGGCCGAAGGCAGCCCCCUUGGGCCAAUACUGACGCCUCAUGCACGAAAGCGUUGGGGAGCAAACAGGAAUUAGAUACCCUGGGUAGUCCACGCCCCUAAACGAUGUCAACUAGUUGUUUGGGGAUUCAUUUUCCUUUAUUAACGUACCUAACGCCUUGAAGUUGACCCGCCCUGGGGGAGUAACGCUCGCAAGAUUACAAACUCCAAAUGAAUUUGAACGGGGACCCCGCCACAAUCGGGUGGGAAUGAUUGUGAAAU